This 497-nucleotide ribosomal RNA is filed under the name uncultured bacterium. Its description in RNAcentral is "partial 16S ribosomal RNA". It matches the Rfam family "Bacterial small subunit ribosomal RNA", at positions 28 to 507 of the family's 1533-position model. The record is from RNAcentral.
GAUGAACGCUGGCGGCGUGCCUAAUACAUGCAAGUCGAGCGAACGGACGAGAAUCUUGCUGCUCUGAUGUUAGCGGCGGGCGGGUGAGUAACACGUGGAUAACCUACCUAUAAGACUGGGAUAACUUCGGGAAUCCUGAUCUAAUACCGGAUAAUAUUUUGAACCGCAUGGUUCACAAGUGAAAGACGGUUUUGCUGUCACUUAUAGAUGUUUCCGCGCCGCAUUAGCUAGUUGGUAAGGUAACGGCUUACCAAGGCUACGAUGCGUAGCCGACCUGAGAGGGUGAUCGGCCACACUGGAACUGAGACACGGUCCAGACUCCUACGGGAGGCAGCAGUAGGGAAUCUUCCGCAAUGGGCGAAAGCCUGACGGAGCAACGCCGCGUGAGUGAUGAAGGUCUUCGGAUCGUAAAACUCUGUUAUUAGGGAAGAACAUAUGUGUAAGUAAAUGUGCCCAUCUUGACGGUACCUAAUCAGAAAGCAACGGCUAACUACGUG